CAAAGUUCAGCGGGUAUCCCUACCUGAUCCGAGGUCAACCAUAGAAAAAUUUGGGUUUUGGCAGAAGCACACCGAGAACCUGUAACGAGAGAUAUUACUACGUUCAGGACCCAGCGGCGCCGCCACUGAUUUUAGAGCCUGCCAUUACUGACAUAGACUCAAUACCAAGCUAAGCUUGAGGGUUGAAAUGACGCUCGAAC
This 200-nucleotide unclassified non-coding RNA is filed under the name Botrytis sp. RNAcentral describes it as "partial internal transcribed spacer 2". The record is from RNAcentral. Lineage: Eukaryota; Fungi; Ascomycota; Leotiomycetes; Helotiales; Sclerotiniaceae.